AUUGAACGCUGGCGGCAUGCCUUACACAUGCAAGUCGAACGGCAGCACGGGAGCAAUCCUGGUGGCGAGUGGCGAACGGGUGAGUAAUGUAUCGGAACGUGCCUUGUCGUGGGGGAUAACGUAGCGAAAGCUACGCUAAUACCGCAUACCAUCUAAGGAUGAAAGCGGGGGAUCGCAAGACCUCGCGCGACAAGAGUGGCCGAUAUCAGAUUAGGUUGUUGGUGGGGUAAAGGCCUACCAAGCCGACGAUCUGUAGCUGGUCUGAGAGGACGACCAGCCACACUGGGACUGAGACACGGCCCAGACUCCUACGGGAGGCAGCAGUGGGGAAUUUUGGACAAUGGGCGAAAGCCUGAUCCAGCAAUGCCGCGUGCGGGAUGAAGGCCUUCGGGUUGUAAACUGCUUUUGUACUAGAACGAAACAGUCUCUCCUAAUACGGGGGGCGAAGUGACGGUACUGUAAGAAUAAGCACCGGCUAACUAACGUGCCAGCAGCCGCGGUAAUC
RNAcentral lists this ribosomal RNA (505 nucleotides) under uncultured bacterium. RNAcentral describes it as "bacterial SSU rRNA". It matches the Rfam family "Bacterial small subunit ribosomal RNA", at positions 30 to 525 of the family's 1533-position model. The record is from RNAcentral.